RNAcentral lists this ribosomal RNA (468 nucleotides) under Styloniscus magellanicus. RNAcentral describes it as "partial large subunit ribosomal RNA". It matches the Rfam family "Eukaryotic large subunit ribosomal RNA", at positions 657 to 911 of the family's 3401-position model. Lineage: Eukaryota; Metazoa; Arthropoda; Malacostraca; Isopoda; Styloniscidae. The record is from RNAcentral.
AAACACGGACCAAGGAGUCUAGUUUAUGCGCGAGUCAAAGGGCUCACUAAACCCCGAGGCGAAACGAAAGUGAACGCUCGGGCGAGGGAGGCGGUAGGGGCUGUUCUUCAGCCUCUUCUUCUUCCAUUCGCCCGUGUUGGGCCGAUCCGGUUCGGGUGGUAACUCCCCGAUUUACCUCACUUUUUGGGAGGCCGGCGCAGGCCCGGGGCUCGUUGCGCUCUUUCACCUUUUUGAACGCGCGGUCGGCUUUCGCGAUAUGCGAGUAGGUGAAUCGACAAUAUUAUUAUCACAUUAUGUUGUCCCGAAAGCUUCGAUCGCCUAGCCGCGCGGAAGGGUUAGGGCGGCGAGUACCUCGAGCGCAUAACCUAGUACCCGAAAGAUGGUGAUCUAAGCCUGGCCAGGAUGAAGCCAGAGGAAACUCUGGUGGAAGUCCGAAGCGGUUCUGACGUGCAAAUCGAUCGUCAGAGC